Molecule: unclassified non-coding RNA, 1424 nt
Filed under: uncultured fungus
Lineage: Eukaryota; Fungi
Description: sequence contains 18S rRNA gene, ITS1, 5.8S rRNA gene, ITS2, 28S rRNA gene
Source: RNAcentral
UCACCAAUGCUGCCAAAUACACGGCUGACGGCGGACACAUCUGGCUCACGGUGCAGCAGGAAGGCGAUGAAGCAGUGCUGCGGGUGCGGGAUACGGGCGUCGGCAUCGCCCCCGAAUUACUCCCGCACAUCUUUGAUCUUUUUACGCAAGCGGAACGAUCGCUCGCCCGCUCGGAAGGCGGGUUGGGCAUCGGGCUCUGCUUGGUGCAACGGCUGGUGGAAAUGCACGGGGGUAGAGUGGAGGCUUCCAGUGUGUUGGGGCAGGGCAGCGAGUUCGUCGUGCGGCUGCCGGUGACGGCGACUCCCGCGCCGCAGCCGCCAUCGUCACCCAAGGAAACUACCGAGUCGACUGGACCGUCCAUGCGGGUGCUGGUGGUGGAUGACAACGUGGAUGCGGCUGAGACGUGGGGAAUGCUGCUGAAAGAGUCAGGGCAUGAUGUUCGGACAGCUCACGACGGCCGGACUGCGCUGGAAGCGGCCGUCGAAUACCGACCGAACGUGGUGCUGUUGGACAUUGGCUUACCGGGGAUGAACGGCCUUGAGGUAGCCAAGAAGAUGCGGGAGCACCCCCUUCUCCAUGGCAUCGUGCUUAUCGCCAUGACGGGUUAUGGGCAAGAGGCAGACCGCCAGCGGUCGCAAGCAGCGGGGUUCGAUCACCAUUUGGUAAAGCCAGUUUCUUUUGGGAAAGUUAAGCAAAUCCUGGCGACCCUCUCGGAAAAGGUGAAGUGAUGCCCACACGGAGCGGGGAUGUGGACUUGCCUUUAGGCAUGGCCCAAGCCGUGGACUGGUGAAUGAAGAGUAUCCGAUGCCGACGACUGAGAAGAUACUUCGGGUUCUCAUCGUGGAUGACCACCGAGACGCUGCUGACUCCUUGGGUUUGCUCGUUGAGGAAUUCGGCCACCAGGUGCAUGUGACGUACGGCGGGAAGCAGGCACUCGACGUUGCGACCGCAUUUCGGCCCGACGUGAUGCUCGUCGAUUUGGCCAUGCCCGACUUGGACGGUUGUAGUCUCGUCAGGCGAUUUCGCGAAACUCCCGCCUUCGCUCACACGAAGAUCGCAGCCAUAACCGGCCAUAAGGACGAGGGACACAAAACCUUGGCCAUGAAGGCCGGGUUCGAUACGGUUCUCUUCAAGCCCGCCUCUCUGACAGAAAUAAAAGCGGUCUUAGCCAGUGUCGUGGUCUCAGAUUCGGGCCAACCACCAAAACGCGCCAAAGCGCGUGUGAGUCUCGAAGUCGAGCGACGUUUGCCGAUUGACGAGGCUCGACGAAUCAGGAAUGAGCGUGAAUCGAAAACCCUCACGCAAGCAGAAAGUGAAUCAGCCAUCUGUGAAGGAAUUCUUCGCUUUCAAGACGAAUAUUUGGGAUGGAGGUCGGAACAGAUUCACGCUCACUUCAUUAAUGACCUUUUGAUAGUGCGUAUCCU